CCGGACCGGCGCACGGGUGAGUAACGCGUAUGCAACUUACCUAUCAGAGGGGGAUAACCCGGCGAAAGUCGGACUAAUACCGCAUGAAGCAGGGGCCCCGCAUGGGGAUAUUUGCUAAAGAUUCAUCGCUGAUAGAUAGGCAUGCGUUCCAUUAGGCAGUUGGCGGGGUAACGGCCCACCAAACCGACGAUGGAUAGGGGUUCUGAGAGGAAGGUCCCCCACAUUGGUACUGAGACACGGACCAAACUCCUACGGAAGGCAGCAG
Molecule: ribosomal RNA, 265 nt
Filed under: uncultured bacterium
Lineage: Bacteria
Description: partial 16S ribosomal RNA
Rfam family: Bacterial small subunit ribosomal RNA
Source: RNAcentral